Molecule: ribosomal RNA, 253 nt
Filed under: uncultured bacterium
Lineage: Bacteria
Description: partial 16S ribosomal RNA
Rfam family: Bacterial small subunit ribosomal RNA
Source: RNAcentral
UACAGAGGUGGCAAGCGUUGUUCGGAAUUAUUGGGCGUAAAGCGCACGUAGGCGGCAUUGCAAGUCGGAUGUGAAAUCCCUCGGCUUAACCAAGGAAGUGCAUCCGAAACUGCAGUGCUUGAGUACUUAAGAGGAUCGCGGAAUUCCCGGUGUAGAGGUGAAAUUCGUAGAUAUCGGGAGGAACACCAGUGGCGAAGGCGGCGAUCUGGGAAGAUACUGACGCUGAGGUGCGAAAGCGUGGGGAGCAAACAGG